GAUGUAACGACCGACGGAUGUGAUCGAUGGAUGGACGACACGACGUGACGAUGACACAAAAAUUAGAGGCACGCCAUCCAAACAAAGGUGACACGUCGCCCAAGUGACGACAACCCACCACCUAGGUCGGCGCGCGACGGUCAAGGAGGUAGUGCACAUAGCCCGAGACAAUGUACACUGCCCCAGCCUGCUGCCAUUACAGGCCUAGCUAGCCACACGCGCAGGCCUAUAGUGUGUAGGGCUACGACGCACAAGCUACCGUACACAAGCCUACUACGCACAGGCCUACUACGUGCAGGCCUAUGCACGCACAGGGCGCAUGGAGUCGCUCUCGUCUGC
RNAcentral lists this long non-coding RNA (339 nucleotides) under Carica papaya (papaya). Its description in RNAcentral is "long non-coding RNA (CPAP_LNC014987)". The record is from RNAcentral. Lineage: Eukaryota; Viridiplantae; Streptophyta; Magnoliopsida; Brassicales; Caricaceae.